Molecule: ribosomal RNA, 439 nt
Filed under: uncultured bacterium
Lineage: Bacteria
Description: partial 16S ribosomal RNA
Rfam family: Bacterial small subunit ribosomal RNA
Source: RNAcentral
CCUACGGGUGGCAGCAGUGGGGAAUAUUGCACAAUGGGCGAAAGCCUGAUGCAGCAACGCCGCGUGAGCGAUGAAGGCCUUCGGGUCGUAAAGCUCUUUCCUCAAGGAAGAGAAUGACGGUACUUGAGUUGGAAGCCCCGGAUAACUACGUGCCAGCAGCCGCGGUAAUACGUAGGGGGCUAGCGUUAUCUGGAAUUACUGUGCGAAAGGGGUGCGUAGGUGGGUUCUUAAGUCAGAGGUGAAAGGCUACGGCUCAACCGUAGUAAGCCUUUGAAACUGGGAAACUUGAGUGCAGGAGAGGAGAGUGGAAUUCCUAGUGUAGCGGUGAAAUGCGUAGAUAUUAGGAGGAACACCAGUUGCGAAGGCGGAUCUCUGGACUGUAACUGACACUGAGGCACGAAAGCGUGGGGAGCAAACAGGAUUAGAUACCCCGGUAGUC